RNAcentral lists this transfer RNA (70 nucleotides) under Dipodomys ordii (Ord's kangaroo rat). It matches the Rfam family "tRNA". Rfam says of the family: Transfer RNA (tRNA) molecules are approximately 80 nucleotides in length. Lineage: Eukaryota; Metazoa; Chordata; Mammalia; Rodentia; Heteromyidae. The record is from Rfam by way of RNAcentral.
GGGAAUGUGGCUUAGUGGUAGAGUGUCUGCCUAGUAUGCAUGAAGCCCUGGGUUCAAUUCCUCAGUACCA